CAGUCGCCGCGGUAACACCAGCACCUCGAGUGGUCAGGAGGUUUAUUGGGCCUAAAGCAUCCGUAGCCGGUUGCAUAAGUUUUCGGUUAAAUCUAUGUGCUUAACGUAUAGGCCGCCGAAAAUACUGUGCAGCUAGGGAGUGGGAGAGGUACACGGUACUCGAUAGGAAGGGGUAAAAUCCUUUGAUCUAUUGAUGACCACCUGUGGCGAAGGCGGUGUACCAGAACACGUUCGACGGUGAGGGAUGAAAGCUGGGGGAGCAAACCGGAUUAGAUACCCCCGUAGUCCCUGUCUCUUAUAC
RNAcentral lists this ribosomal RNA (301 nucleotides) under uncultured bacterium. Its description in RNAcentral is "partial 16S ribosomal RNA". It matches the Rfam family "Archaeal small subunit ribosomal RNA", at positions 459 to 760 of the family's 1478-position model. The record is from RNAcentral.